RNAcentral lists this ribosomal RNA (792 nucleotides) under uncultured bacterium. Its description in RNAcentral is "bacterial SSU rRNA". It matches the Rfam family "Bacterial small subunit ribosomal RNA", at positions 8 to 796 of the family's 1533-position model. The record is from RNAcentral.
AGAGUUUGAUCAUGGCUCAGGAUGAACGCUAGCGGCAGGCUUAAUACAUGCAAGUCGAACGGUAAGUGUUGUAGCAAUACAAUACGAGAGUGACGUACGGGUGCGUAACACGUAUGCAACCUACCCUUUACAGGAGGAUAGCUCGGGGAAACCCGAAUUAACCCUCCAUGGUAUAAUUGGAAGGCAUCUUUUAAUUAUUAAAACUCAGGGUAAAGGAUGGGGCAUGCGUCUGAUUAGUUAGUUGGCGGGGGUAACGGCCCCCCAAGACGAUGAUCAGUAGGGGAACUGAGGGUUGAUCCCCCCCACUGGCACUGAGAUACGGGCCAGACUCCCUACGGGGAGGCAGCAGUAGGGAAUAUUGGUCAAUGGAUGCAAGUCUGAACCAGCCAUGCCGCGUGCAGGAAGAAGGCCCUACGGGUUGUAAACUGCUUUUGCCAGGGGAUAAAAUGGGCAUGCGUGCCUAAUUGAAGGUACCUGGUGAAUAAGCCACGGCUAACUACGUGCCAGCAGCCGCGGUAAUACGUAGGUGGCAAGCGUUGUCCGGAUUUAUUGGGUUUAAAGGGUGCGUAGGCGGCCUUAUAAGUCAGUGCUGAAAUAUCCCGGCUUAACCGGGAGGGUGGCAUUGAUACUGUAGGGCUUGAGUAAAGUUGAGGUUGGCGGAAUUGACGGUGUAGCGGUGAAAUGCUUAGAUAUCGUCAAGAACACCGAUAGCGAAGGCAGCUAACUAAGCUUUAACUGACGCUGAGGCACGAAAGUGUGGGGAUCAAACAGGAUUAGAUACCCUAGUAGUCC